GACGAACGCUGGCGGCGUGCUUAACACAUGCAAGUCGAACGGAAAGGCCCUGCUUUUGUGGGGUGCUCGAGUGGCGAACGGGUGAGUAACACGUGAGUAACCUGCCCUUGACUUUGGGAUAACUUCAGGAAACUGGGGCUAAUACCGGAUAGGAGCUCCUGCUGCAUGGUGGGGGUUGGAAAGUUUCGGCGGUUGGGGAUGGACUCGCGGCUUAUCAGCUUGUUGGUGGGGUAGUGGCUUACCAAGGCUUUGACGGGUAGCCGGCCUGAGAGGGUGACUGGCCACAUUGGGACUGAGAUACGGCCCAGACUCCUACGGGAGGCAGCAGUGGGGAAUAUUGCACAAUGGGCGGAAGCCUGAUGCAGCAACGCCGCGUGCGGGAUGACGGCCUUCGGGUUGUAAACCGCUUUCGCCUGUGACGAAGCGUGAGUGACGGUAAUGGGCAAAGAAGCACCGGCUAACUACGUG
This 468-nucleotide ribosomal RNA is filed under the name uncultured bacterium. RNAcentral's name for it is "partial 16S ribosomal RNA". It matches the Rfam family "Bacterial small subunit ribosomal RNA", at positions 28 to 507 of the family's 1533-position model. The record is from RNAcentral.